GAGCAUGGCCAACCCUGGUCGCAUACGACAAGGCACGGGCACCAUGUAGUAGUGGUCUAGCUGCCAAAACACAAUCUGUGGCACUAUAUCACUGUACCCUUUCUCCUUAAAAUUGCUUUGUAUUGCCCCAUAAUCCGACUCCUAGCAACUACCACCACUAUCAAGAUUUCAUAAUGGUUGAGCACAUAUACCUUCUUCACCAUUUGAUCCGGCCUCAAAUUCCCAUCCACAACCACUUGGAGAAUCAUAUCAAAUUGUUCACCUGUUUUUUUAUCUAAUCCUGUGAUGGUAAGGUAAAGUUCCC
RNAcentral lists this long non-coding RNA (304 nucleotides) under Prunus persica (peach). Its description in RNAcentral is "long non-coding RNA (PPER_LNC006995)". Lineage: Eukaryota; Viridiplantae; Streptophyta; Magnoliopsida; Rosales; Rosaceae. The record is from RNAcentral.